This is a long non-coding RNA of Lagopus muta (rock ptarmigan), 4804 nucleotides long. RefSeq lists it as uncharacterized. The record is from RefSeq and is a predicted model, not a curated record. NCBI's taxonomy places the organism in Eukaryota, Metazoa, Chordata, Aves, Galliformes, Phasianidae. The transcript has 2 exons.
AAAAAAAAAAAAAAAAAAAAUAGAGCAGGAAUCUGCUCCUCAAUCUCUUAAAAAAGCAUAGUGCUAAACUCUCCCCCGUGGAGAUGAAAUGGGCAUGGAAUAAUUGGUCCAACUUCGAGGGAGUCAUGGGUCAUAUUAAAUUCCCUCCACAAGCAAAUUUGUAUGGGGGAGGAAAAGGGAAUAUCAAUCAUUUGUGCAGUUCCAGGAGCUGCUCUUAGUGCUGCCAUAGAGAUCCGCAAUGAACAGCACAUGGUAGAAACCCAAAUUAUAAAGUCCUUUCAGGAAUUGGUGACAUACCUGCAGUACCAAGUAGAAGAUCUUAGGGGACAGAAAAAGAAGACCAUUCAAAAGGCCUCCCUCAGCAAGCCCUUAGAGAACAGUUGGUAAAUGACAGGGAGUGAAGGGAACUGUUGUUGUGCAGACUACGUGACUGGCCUGAAAGGGUCAGUAACGUGUUACAGUGUUUCAUCCGGAAAGGGAUGGAUACUUCUAGCAAUAACAACAGUGACCCUGAAAGGGAUGGAUACUACUAGCAAAAACAACAGUGACUGAUUGGCAAAGGAAGAAAGAACUUAUGUCUCGGUAAGCAGAACACAAGAAACUAGGAUAAGGGAGUACAAGAACAGCUGCUUGCACACAAGCCUUUGCUUUGUGCUUUGUUUCACACUUGCUAAUUAUUUACGAUCUUGUAGUGUAUCCAGUCUAUAAAAAGAAUGAGCCUUCAAUAAACAUUGCUUUUGCGCCACCAGAGCCUAAGCCCGUCUGUCCCAGGUGUCUUGAGCUGGUCUCCGUCAAGGGAGAUAGAUGCUAGUUCCCCAGGUAGUGACUUUCCUCCAGGAGAAAAUCUUGAGGAUGUGAGAGCCCAAAAAGACAAGUUGGGAAACCUGUGAUCCUUCCCUGCCUUUAGAUAGAAACUGGGUGUGCAUGGGAAGAGACUGGCAGUGGGUAUUCUGAUGUUCGUACUGACAAAGUUCCCUGUUUGCUACGGAGCUGGCCAAAGUAAGGAAGGAUUUUGGUGACACCCUUAGGAAAUCAGUAUGUGUGGAAAGUGCCAUUAACAGAGGGAGGUAAGAUCUUGCUGACUGAAAAGGAAUCAGAGGGUUAUUGGGGACCUGGAAUAUUUUUCACCACGGGCAACCACUGCCAGUGGUCCCUUACUCCAAGAGCUGCUUAUUGGGAUGAUUACUCCCCAGGACAACUGCUGUUGAUUGAUUUGCCCCACUGUGGUCCUGUCCCUUUAACCCUCAGGGAGACUCUUCACAAAUAGUUGUGGAAGCCUCAAGAUGAUCAGGAGGAACUGUACAAAAUUAACCAUCUGGAUUUCACCUCCCUUCUAACUUUGGUUCAUUUAGGACCAGGAAGUCUUAUUUUUGUUUUGUUUUCUUUUCCAGUUUUGCUUCUUAUAACCUUGGUUUCUUUGGAACCAGGAAGUUCUCUCUUGUUUUCCAGAUGCCAACGAAUGCUGAUACUGUUGCUGUAGUUCACAUGUUCCCUUCUCACUCUGCUCCUUUGUCUGGGAUCCCUGUGGUAUCAUUGGUGUUACUGCUUUGGACAGGAAUCUUCUUCAGAUUAAUUUUUGUAAUUGCUUAUGAUGACCUUAACACAGUCACUGGCUGGUCACGGUCCCAUGCCCAUAUUGGCAGUACUGGGCAUCUAGUUAGUUUUACUUAUGAUCCUGUCACUAACUCUCCUGCAGCUUUUGUCUUAAUACACAAUGCUUCAGUACAUACCAUACACCUAAUCAUUGUGCUGGGACUGAAUCACAAUGGAGUUUUUUUGUUUAUUUUUUUCCCUGCAGAGGAGAAAGAAUCACAAAUGCUUGUGGAGAAAAAAGACUCAGGGAUUUCUUCUUCUUUCUUGCUAGCAGAUCUUGAUGCUCUCCUCUUCCUGCCAGUGGGCUGCGUGUCAUGCCAUAGUCCUGCAGUCUCCAGAAGUGACCCCACAUGCUACCAAAACAGAUCACAGACCUGGAUUCAGGCAUUCUUCAUUCUCCCACUGCACGAGCUGUCAUGGAGCAACGUGCUCCUCAAACGUAGUCAUUUUGUGAGGUUACACAGUGUUUGUGUACUUAUGUAGGAAUGGAAUGUUGUUUCUGCAUUAGAACUAAAACGUGAGUAUUUUACGUCAUUGUCUCUGCUCCAGUCUUGUGUUGUUUGUUUACUACUACUAAUUACUACUUAGUACUACUAAGUACUAACAGCUCUUUUUGGGAGUGUUUUUAUUUCAUCAGGAGUCUCUGAGGGUCUCCUUCACUUGCCUGUUUGAUGAAUUUUCCACAUUGGUGCUUGCUCAGUGGGUAGAUGGAGUAAUGAAUGUAUGGGUACAAGGACUGCUGCUGUUAUCUGUCCAGCCAUCUGGAAUACCUCUGAGCCUUGAGUUCCAGACAACAUAGACAUUGCGCUCCUAAACAUUACGAUAAUGCCUUUAGAAAUCCAAAACCCUUGACAAUGAUAUCAGUAGGCUCAUUAUGUUGCAAGACUACUGAUUUUUGAUGCUGGUCAGACAGGACCUCAGUGAUGAUAGAAAAUUUAAGGAGGAGAAUGUAAGCCAUUAGCAAUAGAUAAACAUUUAGCUAGCAACAGUUUCUAUUUAGCCAGUAUGCCCAUGUACAGUUAAGCAUCGGGAAGGUCUGUGAACCUGAAAUACUCAGGCAAUGAGGAAUCAGGGGAAAAGGUGAGCAUCAAGGUAAUAGGGCAUGUUCUUUGCUUUGUAAUAGGGUUUUGUUUGCUUUUCAUUCAGUAUCAUUUCUUACCAUUACGCAGCGUUUGUCUUGUCUUGUUUUUCAUGUUGCCAAUCAACAUUUAGUUGGAGCUUGGGUGACCCGAAUGCAUACAACUAAGUGUUGACCAAGUGUGAUGUGAAAUGAAGAGGUAGGCUCCAAAACAGGCUUCUAGUGAGUGCUGUGUACGACAUGGAGUAUCGAGAACUACCUCUGUUUCUCCCUGCCCCAUGUUGUUCAGUACCAGACGUGAAGGUUUCUUCUUUCCUUCUAGGGUUGGAGACUCCACUAUCAGAUGGCACUGGCCUUUCAAGCCUCCCCGGGUUGUAGCGCUGGUUGUGCCCUGAUCCUUGGAAAGGGGAACUGAUUCCUUCAUCAUUACCUGAUGGUGACGUCUACUUAUCUUGUGUCCAGUGAGCGGUGGUGGAAAAACUGCGGCUCUCCCGAGUGGUGCAAGGACUCUACUGAGGCUCAUUGUGUUUAUAGUAGAAAACUACAGCCAUAGAUGAAUGCCAAUAUCCACUCCUUACUCUGUCUGGCAAGCUGUGUUGAUCUCUGAAGUUGCUCCCACACUUGUAGAAGUUCUUUGGGCUCAGCAUCAGUUGUCUCUUGCACUCACAUGGCUUUCACCAGUUGGAGCUACAGUGAGCCCAAAUGGUGACUGCUCUGCUUUGACCAAGUGAGAUGCAAAAAGAAGAGGUAGGUUGCAAAACAGGCUUCUAGUGCGUGCCAUGUAAGACUUGGGGUAUCCAGAGUUAACUUCUUGUCUUUCUCCUUUUCCAGUUCCUUUUCCAGUUCCCUUUGAUUUUUCCCCCCUUUUUAUAAUUUUCAUUUCCUAAUCCACUUUCUAAUUCUACUGCUUUUCUUUUUUCCAAUUCCUUUUCCAAUUCCUUUUCCGAAUAGUUUUGCUUCAUUUUUUUUAUUUUUACCUUUUUCUUUUCUCUCCUUGUUCUUUUAUUUCCUUUUCUUUCUCUUUCUAAUUUGUUUUCUUAAGACUUUUUCAAAUCUUUUUUGUUUUGAAUUUUUUCUAUUUCUUUCUAGUUCUUUUUCUUUUGAUAAUUCUGUUUCCAAUUCUGUUUGUUUCCAAUUGUUUUUCUUCAUGUUCCUUUUCUUAGUCAUAUUCCUUUCCGUAUUUUAUUUUCUUCAACUUAUUACAAUUCCCAUUCCAAUUCUUUUUCCUUUAUUAAUUAUUUUUCCAUUCCCUUUUCUAAAUCUUUCCCUCUUUCUAAAUCUGUUUCUUCUUUCCUGUUUCUAAUUGUGAGAAUCCUUUGUUUUUUGGCUCAAAGCUUGCUUCCUGAGGUUUUUCUUGUGAUAAGACUCUCAAUGAUUUGUUAAGGAGGCAAGUGAUGGGUGCUAACCAUGUGACAAUCGGUAUCACUUUGGCAACAUUUGAAAGCCCCUUCCUCCAGAGCUGCUUGCCUCUGGAAUAGAGUGCUCAGGAGUGUUCACUGGCAGAAGAUCUGGCCUGUGACUAAAGAGCUCCAGCUUGGUAUGGGAAAAUUGGGGAAUUAUACCAUAGUGUUCUGUGAAAAACAAGAUGCAGAUGGGCAUCCCUGUUCCCUCUUGUCUGCUGGCAAGGCCCAGAAGAUGGGAACAAAGGAGUUUCUGCUGAGAUCCCAGAGCCAGAAGCUGCCGCUCCAAGGAGAGCUGACUCAACCACAUUGGAUUUGAGCUGUCACUCCAAAGACAGCUGACUCCGCUCCAAGGAGAGCUGACUCAACCACAUUGGAUUUGAGCUGUCACUCCAAAGACAGCUGACUCGACCACUUUGAAACUAUUGAAAAGGGGCUGUCAUCGCCAUGGUCAUGGCCGUCGUUCUCAUCAUUCUCCUCGUCGUCAACAGAACAAUGCCUGACGACCCACCACUACUGAAGAUCAAAGACUGAACUACAAACCACGCUAGAUCCAUGGUGGUGACUGUCUCCCUCUUGCUUCCUAUAAAGACUCCUUGCUUCUUCUUCUCUAUCUUUUCUAUCUUUCCUAUCGCCCUCCUUCCCUUCCCCAUUACCCUGAUUCGUAAUAACCUCCGUCCUCCCCUUCCCCAUUUCCCUAAUUACGAUUUGUAAUAAAUUGGUCGGACCAACA